CCCACAGCAGAUUUUAUAUUUGCCUCAGCUGAUUAAUCAGAGGUUCAGUUCAGGCUGUGAUUACCAAUUUCUCAUACAGAGCUGAACACAGUUUUGCAGAAGUGCAUGAUCUGCUGUACAAAACUGAGAAGGGACCUGCUAGACUUCUGAACUCUGAUGAUGAUUACCGAACAGUGUACCCAAAUCAAAAUAUCCUAGGUUCCAGUCCAUCUCAUACAUGACAGAAGUUGUGGGUGCAGACUAUAAAGCACAAGCAGCACUAAGGAGGAGAAACUGGGUUGUUUGAACUAAGGAAUCCUAUCUGUACUGGAGCCUGGUCUCCUCCGUGAACACCAAGUUUUGAACACCAAGACAUCUGGCUGCUGGGAUACAGUCUAGGCUCACAGGAAAUGAUUCAUCAAUAUCUCGAACUGCUCCUUAGGCCAGAGCUUGGGACAUCAAAAAGAGACAAUGCAGAGAGGGAGGGAGAUUCUACCCUGAAAGAAGUGUCCUGCAGCUUUGACUCAGAUUGCUAUUUUGCUGUUGAACAACAAUAUUCAUCUGUGAAUUUCAUGCACCAUCUGUGACAUCCAAUUGGAAAAAAAAAAAAAGAGUUUGGCAGCUUUUAAUUGUUCAUCUAAGUCUUUGAAGUACCUCUGUUACAUUACACUAGCACAUGACUUUAGUAUGCAGCUCAUCUGCCUCACACUGGGGCAAUAUUUUGGGUAGUUUUCUUCUAAAACUGAAUAAUUCCUGUCCUAUUUACAAUUAAUUUCAUCAAAAGAUUCAGAAACAUCUCACAUUUAGUUUGAAAAUCUUUCUUUUCUCCCAGUAAGCCUUGAGCCUUGCCUUAAAAGCAAUUAAUAGUUCUACAAGUUGUGGGGUUUUGUUUGUUUGUUUUGGGUGGUUUAUUAUUAUUAUUCUUAUUAUUAUUUGCUUCUUUUCAGUCAAGGACUUGAAUCAGUGAUAAAGACUGCUGCCAUCGUGUUCAUCCUGAAAUGUCAAGGAAAGUUGAUUGAGUUGCUAGGACAAGUGAUGCGUCACAUAAGUGAAGGAGAGCAGAUCAAAACUUUUUUUUCUCUAGCAAGUCUGUUGGAAUAACAAGACUGAAUCAAGAAAUAGUUUUAUGGAGUUUUAAUUUCAAUUGGAAGAAGUGAAAUACCUUUCAUAUCAGGAAGACUGGAUGAACUUCAGCUUAUAAUUAUUUAACCUCAUUUCUAGUUUUAUUCCUGUGACCAACAGCCAUACUAUUUUUGCUUACAUGCUAAAGGACUGUUAAAAGUCCUCAAUUAGGAAUUACUUCUUCGUUAUAUUCAUUUGCUACAUUUACUUAAUAUAGCAUACUUCAGGGGAGUGACUGGUAGAUGGCAUUAAGGGUGGGUAGUGAUGGUUUGAAUGUUUGUUUUUUCUUUGUUUGCAAUGCAAAAAACUGUGGGACACGUUGGAGAAGGUAACUUGGAAAAAGCACUCUGUAAGUGUCAAUGUAGACACUGUUUUAUUGGUAUGUUAGGCACCUAUGCAAAACUCACAGCAAGACAGAGUUUAUAUCUCUAUUAGUAUGCAUACGCAAUGAACACUUCUUGGGGUGUCUGGUUUAUAGAGAAGUUAAAGCAUCCUUUAAGAUGACAUGUUAAAAAUGCCUCUCUGUCUAAAAAAAGAAGAAAAAAACCCAAACUGUUAUCUAAGGAUGACAGCAAGUGUAAAUUGUGAAAAGCUCCACAGAAAGUGUGAGAAACAUGAUCACAAACAUCUAUGGAAGGGAACAAGAGCAAAUUUUCUUACUUUGGAACAACUGUGUUACUGAUACUGCAUUUCUACUUGUAAGAAACACAAGAGGGAGUCUCAUGACAGGCAGAUGAUGAGUGUGCAUGCAAGGGGGGGCCAUCUUUCACAGAGUGACAGAUGAGACAGCAGGAAACUGCCUAGAGCCAGUGAACCCUUUGAUGGAGAAUUGGUGCCUCUUGCCCAGGGCUCCAAGUUGCUUUAAAGGUAAGCUCAGAAAGCUUUAAAAGACAAAGUGCAACAUCAUUGCCAAGUCUCUUCGCAAAGGAUUGCUGGACUCUGAAAGGUUUGCUGUGAAAGACAAGUGCUUCAAAGAUUUGGGUCUCUGGAGAAAGCUAAGGAGGAGGAUCUAAAACACCUUACCUGAUGACUGGAAAAGGUGAAAUACAUCUGAGGCAGGUUUAAUGUUUGAUAUUGCUAUCUGAAUUUUGGGCCUUGGAUUAAAAACAAAUAUUCAUAUGAGAUUUGACUCUGUGGAUGAUAUGGACUGUUCUCUGGUAGUUACAGGUUUCUUUCACCCCUUUUUACUGUUGGCUGCUCAGCACCAAUUAGUGGUAUGCUGUCAGGACUGCUUUUGAGUUCCAAAGAUUUCACAGUGACUUUCCAGACUUCUGCUUUCUCUCCAAAGCAGGGAACAGAUAAUUCCCCCUUAAGAAAUAUGUUUUAUAAAAGCUUGUUUUGUCAAUGAUUAAAUGGAAGGAAAACAGAUAAAACUGUUUCCUCUGCAGCUAUACAGAUACAAAAUUAAUUUACCAAUCAAAACCAGCAUUGUGAAAAUGUUACUGAUCAGCAAAGGGGCAGCAGCACUGUGAGAGGUGAAGUGUGUGAGAUGGGAAACCUUGUACCAAGCAGCCCCAUGCUUCUCUUGGCUUUCUCAGUUCAUGAAACAAACACAGCAUGUAUAUUCCUUAAAAGUGAGCCCUUAAAUCUAUCACAUACACUAUUUUCACAGAGUUGUGCUUUUCUUUAAACUAUCAAGAUCAUUGGGAAUAUAAAAGGUCUACUUUAGCCUUGAAGCUGCCCUGCUUUUUGCUGUAUGAGUAUAUUUAUAGAUAUAUAAUUCAUACCUCUGGGGUUGAUCUCCAGUAAGAGUUCUCUGCCACUGGAAAACACAGCAUGUUAAAAAUUUAAUAGAAGUCUUAUGAACUGUAAGGAUGUUGUGGGUGAAUCAUGAACGCAGAGGGCACUAAAAAUGGGGAAAAACAGAAACUGAAAAACUGUAGCAGCUGCCAGCUUUCAUCUUCACAGCCACAACUGCUUAACUGGAGACUCAGGAAGCAAAGUGAUAGAGUAUAAUGGGUGCACAAAGAUGAACUCUUGACUGGUGUUGAUAAGGGACACACCCUUAACGUCUCUUUCUUUUCCAGCUGUAUUUGAAGAGCUUUUAAAUUAUAUCCAAAUUCUGCAGCCAAAGUUUGUCAUUUGUAUAUUCUUCUUAUGUUGCUCCUAUGAAAUUUGACUUUUUUUAGUAUGACAUACUUGUCAUAGAAAAUAAUUCCUUACUUUUUCCCCUCUGAAUCAAAGCAAUAUCAGUGGCAAUAAUUUCUUAUUAAAUUACUGAGUUCAUAAAGUUCUCUCUUAUGGUGUUAUACUUAAUUCUCCUUUGAGCCCUCUGAGAAUGAGAAGGGGAAAAUAUUCACAGGAUGUUAACACAAAGCCUAGCAGAUGAACCUUCUUAAUAUUAUUUUCUACCCUUUGCAGUCUGAUUUAAGUGCAAUUGACAGUCAGUAGUAGAGAGCGAAAUAUAUUUUCCACAGUUGAAUACUGCAUCAUUUCAUCUUCUUUUCUUCUGGUGUGCUCAGAGUGAUUAAAGGUGUAUUUCUUGCAGUGGAGUUGAUCAUUUUUGCAAGCAGAAUCUCCUGUUUGGGUGUUGGACACUGAGUUGCUUUGAACCAAAUGGAAUAUGCUCUUGUCCACUUCCCAUUAUUAAUUUGAACUCUCAUGAUUAAUUGGUGACAGCUUCCUACACAGUUAAAUAAUUUGUGCUGAUUUCAGCAUCAGUUGUUGAAGGGACUUGCAAAGUUGAACCUAAGAUACCUUCUAAGUACUUAGCACAGCAUUAACAUGCAGGAAUGCUAAGUGUGCUUUUAAAAGAAUACAGUUUCUUACUUUUACUGAAAGCUCAUUUUUGUUUAAAGAAAUCAACCCAAGUCUCUUCUGAAAAUUUCUGGACAUAGUUUUCAGUAGGGAAGUAUCUGCCAAAUGUAAUUUUUCUGGAAGAUACUAGCAAGUUUGAUACUAGUUAUGAUGAGUGUGUUUACCUGGAAAGAGUACACUUGAGAGUAUCAGUUGGAUUGGACAUUAGGCAGAUGGUCAGCAAUCAGAAAAUUAAUAGAAAUAAAACACUUCCAUUAGAAUAACAUAGGAAAGAUGUAGAACUGCAAUAAGAAGACCUUGAGAGCUACUGAAAUGCUUAAGAAGUCUCAUUGGUUUUCCUUUGAACUAAAAACUACAGCACUGGGCUACAUACAAUUUAAGUAUCUUGAAAGAAAGUAGCUUUACUGGUUUCUUUUUGGGAAAGGAGGAGGGGAAAGAAAGCUAGAUAGACUGAUAAAGAAUAGGAGUGAACUACCACAGGUUCCUUUACCCCCUCCUAUGCAGAAUGCAAUCCGGCAAUAGACAAUACACAAAGAGCACAUAACACAAAAGCAAAUAGAAACUGAUUCAAAAAUAAAUAAGUGAACUUAUAUACUUUUUCCAAAACAAAAUCAUGUACUAGAAAAGAAA
This is a long non-coding RNA of Coturnix japonica (Japanese quail), 4488 nucleotides long. RefSeq lists it as uncharacterized. The record is from RefSeq and is a predicted model, not a curated record. NCBI's taxonomy places the organism in Eukaryota, Metazoa, Chordata, Aves, Galliformes, Phasianidae.